This 429-nucleotide ribosomal RNA is filed under the name uncultured Acidobacterium sp. RNAcentral describes it as "bacterial SSU rRNA". It matches the Rfam family "Bacterial small subunit ribosomal RNA", at positions 958 to 1385 of the family's 1533-position model. Lineage: Bacteria; Pseudomonadati; Acidobacteriota; Terriglobia; Terriglobales; Acidobacteriaceae. The record is from RNAcentral.
AACGCGAAGAACCUUACCUGGGCUCGAACGGCUGCGGAAAGCCGGUGGAAACACUGGUUCUCCCGCAAGGGACCGUAGUCGAGGUGCUGCAUGGCUGUCGUCAGCUCGUGUCGUGAGAUGUUGGGUUAAGUCCCGCAACGAGCGCAACCCUUGUCCUGUGUUGGCAUGCCGAAAGGCGCAACUCUCAGGAGACCGCCAGCGAUAAGUUGGAGGAAGGUGGGGAUGACGUCAAGUCAUCAUGGCCUUUAUGUCCAGGGCUACACACGUGCUACAAUGGGCGGUACAAAGCGCUGCAAACCCGCGAGGGGGAGCUAAUCGCAAAAAACCGUUCUCAGUUCGGAUCGCAGGCUGCAACUCGCCUGCGUGAAGCUGGAAUCGCUAGUAAUGGCAUAUCAGAACGAUGCCGUGAAUACGUUCCCGGGCCUUGUA